This 293-nucleotide long non-coding RNA is filed under the name Prunus persica (peach). RNAcentral's name for it is "long non-coding RNA (PPER_LNC005675)". Lineage: Eukaryota; Viridiplantae; Streptophyta; Magnoliopsida; Rosales; Rosaceae. The record is from RNAcentral.
UUGGACUUAUGUUGGCCUUUAUUAUUUAUACCUAAACCCUGCAAAUUCCCCAAACUCCGACACUUAAUUAAAUCCUUCCAAAUCUAUCUCCUUUUGAAUACAGGUAAAUUUAUUUGGACUUUUCAAGUCCUAAUUGAAUACACCCACAUUUAGAUGGACAUUUUAAAAGUUCAAACAAGUCUAGAUUGCAUACACCUGUUAUAAAAUGAACUGGUAUAUAUGCGAAUAUUGAGCUGCACGUAAAGUAGAUGAGACACAGUAUUUAACGAGGUUCGGCUAUGCCUAUAUCCCCG